Tyto alba (common barn owl) is the source of this 659-nucleotide long non-coding RNA. RefSeq lists it as uncharacterized. Lineage: Eukaryota; Metazoa; Chordata; Aves; Strigiformes; Tytonidae. The transcript has 3 exons. The record is from RefSeq and is a predicted model, not a curated record.
UUCACAGUGUCCCUGUGUGAAAAGAGCACAGGACUGAUACUCUGUCUUGUGCCACUGGAUCUAAAACUGGAGUCAGUAGUCCUCACGGAAAUAAAGCUGAAGGCAGGAAUGAAUGAACAUGAUUGCAACGAACUGGCGAACAAUGGAAGAGCGGAGUUAUUAUUGUUUCUUAGGCCAGAUUACAGAGGCCUGGUUUACCUCAGCUCUCUGCUCCUGGCUGCAUCUCGCUCACCUCCUCCCUCCUCCCCCUUCUCCUGCAGCAACAAAACCAUCUCUGAAACAUAGAGGACAUCACACUGGAGAGAGAUCUAUCAGAAACCACACCCAAGCUGUCGUGGAGGAAUGUCAGAUUGAUAUGGUUGGUCACACUCAAUGAAAAUGUGUGGAAGCUGGCCCGUUCAGCUCUGCCUAAGGUGGAAAUGAAGCUCCAAGCUAUUUCUGGAGGACAUAAUGUAUUAGAAGCUCUCAACACUUGGUGGUAUCUUUUCACUUGUAAACUCCUUGUUGAUUUAAUUUGGAGUUAACUCCAGGCAAGCAUCUUUCAAAAGACAGACAACCGAGUGGAUUCACAACUACUUGCCAUAAUUCCUGUUUGUGAUUCUUGGCCAAGACCAAAAUUGUGGCUUCAUCCAAAAUACCUCUGGGUUUCUUUACAGCUG